GCAGUCGAACGAUGAAGCCCACUUGUGGGUGGAUUAGUGGCGAACGGGUGAGUAACACGUGAGUAACCUGCCCUUGACUCUGGGAUAAGCCUGGGAAACUGGGUCUAAUACCGGAUAUGACCUUCCAUCGCAUGGUGGUUGGUGGAAAGCUUUUGUGGUUUUGGAUGGACUCGCGGCCUAUCAGCUUGUUGGUGGGGUAAUGGCCUACCAAGGCGACGACGGGUAGCCGGCCUGAGAGGGUGACCGGCCACACUGGGACUGAGACACGGCCCAGACUCCUACGGGAGGCAGCAGUGGGGAAUAUUGCACAAUGGGCGCAAGCCUGAUGCAGCGACGCCGCGUGAGGGAUGACGGCCUUCGGGUUGUAAACCUCUUUCGUAGGGAAGAAGCCAAGAUG
Molecule: ribosomal RNA, 397 nt
Filed under: Arthrobacter sp.
Lineage: Bacteria; Bacillati; Actinomycetota; Actinomycetes; Micrococcales; Micrococcaceae
Description: bacterial SSU rRNA
Rfam family: Bacterial small subunit ribosomal RNA
Source: RNAcentral